CGUAGUUGAUCAUGGCUACAGAACGAACGCUGGCGGUAUGCCUAACACAUGCAAGUCGAACGCGAAAGUCCUUCGGGAUGAGUAGAGUGGCGGACGGGUGAGUAAUGCGCAGGAAUCUACCUAGUAGUGGGGGAUAACGUUUCGAAAGGAACGCUAAUACCGCAUACGUUCUGAGGAAGAAAGCAGGGGAUCGUAAGACCUUGCGCUAUUAGAUGAGCUUGCGUCCGAUUAGCUAGUUGGUGGGGUAAAGGCCUACCAAGGCAACGAUCCGUAGCUGGUCUGAGAGGAUGAUCAGCCACACUGGAACUGAGACACGGUCCAGACUCCUACGGGAGGCAGCAGUGGGGAAUAUUGGACAAUGGGCGGAAGCCUGAUCCAGCAAUGCCGCGUGUGUGAAGAAGGCCUUCGGGUUGUAAAGCACUUUUAUCAGGAACGAAAAGCGUUGGAUUAAUACUCUGACGUGCUGACGGUACCUGAGGAAUAAGCACCGGCUAACUUCGUG
Molecule: ribosomal RNA, 502 nt
Filed under: uncultured bacterium
Lineage: Bacteria
Description: bacterial SSU rRNA
Rfam family: Bacterial small subunit ribosomal RNA
Source: RNAcentral